Molecule: ribosomal RNA, 468 nt
Filed under: uncultured bacterium
Lineage: Bacteria
Description: partial 16S ribosomal RNA
Rfam family: Bacterial small subunit ribosomal RNA
Source: RNAcentral
GACGAACGCUGGCGGCGUGCUUAACACAUGCAAGUCGAACGGAAAGGCCCUGCGUUUGUGGGGUGCUCGAGUGGCGAACGGGUGAGUAACACGUGAGUAACCUGCCCUUGACUUUGGGAUAACUUCAGGAAACUGGGGCUAAUACCGGAUAGGAGCUCCUGCUGCAUGGUGGGGGGUGGAAAGUUUCGGCGGUUGGGGAUGGACUCGCGGCUGAUCAGCUUGUUGGUGGGGUAGGGGCUUCCCCAGGCUUUGACUGGUAGGCGGCCUGAGAGGGUGACCGGGCACCUUGGUCCUGAGAUACGGCCCAGACUCCUACGGGAGGCAGCAGUGGGGAAUCUUGCACAAUGGGCGGACGCCUGAUGCAGCAACGCCGCGUGCGGGAUGCCGGCCUUCUGGUUGUAAACCGCUUUCGCCUGUGACGAAGCGUUAGUGACGGUAAUGGGUAAAGAAGCACCGGCUAACUACGUG